UAGGGAAUAUUCCACAAUGGGCGCAAGCCUGAUGGAGCGACACCGCGUGCAGGAUGAAGGCCUUAGGGUCGUAAACUGCUUUUAUAGGGGAAGAUUAUGACGGUACCCUAAGAAUAAGGAUUUGCUAACUCCGUGCCAGCAGCCGCGGUCAUACGGAGGAUCCAAGCGUUAUCCGGAAUUACUGGGCGUAAAGCGUACGCAGGUGGUUCAUUAAGUGAAAUGCCAAAUCGCAGGGCUCAACUCUGCGUUAGUAUUUCAUACUGGUGAACUCGAGGAAGGCAGAGGUGAGCGGAAUUUCUAGUGUAGGGGUGAAAUCCGUAGAUACUAGGAGGAACGCCAAUGGUGAAGACAGCUCACUGGGCCUUAUCUGACACUCAUGUACGAAAGCGUGGGGAGCGAACCGG
Molecule: ribosomal RNA, 404 nt
Filed under: uncultured bacterium
Lineage: Bacteria
Description: bacterial SSU rRNA
Rfam family: Bacterial small subunit ribosomal RNA
Source: RNAcentral